AGAGCAAGAUGAUAAAAUAAAGGCAAAAAGCUGCUUACUAAGGAAUAAUUGGGUAAUACUUGCAAUAAGAGUCUCAUCUCCAGAGGCAAAACUCUUACCUUAGCUGUAAAGCCAGAGGCUGUAAAACAACAAGGAAUAGUUAAGAGGAUGUGUAUCAAAAUAGGUGAAAUAUAUCAAUAAGCUCCAAACAAAAAGACUUUACCUUUUCAGGAGUGCUGGGCUUCCUCCCUGAAAAUAGUAAAAGCUUACAUUCAGAAAAAAUGAAAGGGAUCUCCUAAUGUCUUUCUGUUCAACUAGUCCUGAGCAAGGCUUGCAACUUCCCAGAUACAAUUUCUCUUGCUUUAGCUUGUCUGAAGUAGAAAAUCUAGCUUCAAAAGUCACAGAGCCACCAGCAUGCUGUAAGUCUGU
This is a long non-coding RNA of Pezoporus occidentalis (night parrot), 408 nucleotides long. RefSeq lists it as uncharacterized. The transcript has 3 exons. Lineage: Eukaryota; Metazoa; Chordata; Aves; Psittaciformes; Psittacidae. The record is from RefSeq and is a predicted model, not a curated record.